RNAcentral lists this ribosomal RNA (839 nucleotides) under Massilia aurea. RNAcentral's name for it is "bacterial SSU rRNA". It matches the Rfam family "Bacterial small subunit ribosomal RNA", at positions 153 to 988 of the family's 1533-position model. The record is from RNAcentral. Lineage: Bacteria; Pseudomonadati; Pseudomonadota; Betaproteobacteria; Burkholderiales; Oxalobacteraceae.
GAAAGUUACGCUAAUACCGCAUACGAUCCAAGGAUGAAAGCAGGGGAUCUUCGGACCUUGUGCUCCUGGAGCGGCCGAUAUCUGAUUAGCUAGUUGGUGAGGUAAAGGCUCACCAAGGCCACGAUCAGUAGCUGGUCUGAGAGGACGACCAGCCACACUGGAACUGAGACACGGUCCAGACUCCUACGGGAGGCAGCAGUGGGGAAUUUUGGACAAUGGGCGAAAGCCUGAUCCAGCAAUGCCGCGUGAGUGAAGAAGGCCUUCGGGUUGUAAAGCUCUUUUGUCAGGGAAGAAACGGUUCGGGCUAAUAUCCUGAGCUAAUGACGGUACCUGAAGAAUAAGCACCGGCUAACUACGUGCCAGCAGCCGCGGUAAUACGUAGGGUGCAAGCGUUAAUCGGAAUUACUGGGCGUAAAGCGUGCGCAGGCGGUUUUGUAAGUCUGACGUGAAAUCCCCGGGCUCAACCUGGGAAUUGCGUUGGAGACUGCAAGGCUAGAAUCUGGCAGAGGGGGGUAGAAUUCCACGUGUAGCAGUGAAAUGCGUAGAGAUGUGGAGGAACACCGAUGGCGAAGGCAGCCCCCUGGGUCAAGAUUGACGCUCAUGCACGAAAGCGUGGGGAGCAAACAGGAUUAGAUACCCUGGUAGUCCACGCCCUAAACGAUGUCUACUAGUUGUCGGGUUUUAAUUAACUUGGUAACGCAGCUAACGCGUGAAGUAGACCGCCUGGGGAGUACGGUCGCAAGAUUAAAACUCAAAGGAAUUGACGGGGACCCGCACAAGCGGUGGAUGAUGUGGAUUAAUUCGAUGCAACGCGAAAAACCUUACCUACCCUUGACAUG